AAUCAACGCUGGCGGCGUGCCUAACACAUACAAGUCGAACGCGACUGGGGCUUCGGCCUCAGUUGAGUGGCGAACGGGUGAGUAACACGUGGGUGACCUACCUUCGAAUGGGGGAUAACGUCCCGAAAGGGACGCUAAUACCGCAUAACAUCCUGCCUUUGAACAGGCGGAGAUCAAAGCCGGGGAUCGCAAGACCUGGCGUUUGAAGAGGGGCCCGCGUCCGAUUAGCUAGUUGGUGAGGUAACGGCUCACCAAGGCGACGAUCGGUAGCCGGCCUGAGA
This 281-nucleotide ribosomal RNA is filed under the name uncultured bacterium. RNAcentral's name for it is "partial 16S ribosomal RNA". It matches the Rfam family "Bacterial small subunit ribosomal RNA", at positions 32 to 297 of the family's 1533-position model. The record is from RNAcentral.